RNAcentral lists this ribosomal RNA (449 nucleotides) under uncultured bacterium. RNAcentral describes it as "partial 16S ribosomal RNA". It matches the Rfam family "Bacterial small subunit ribosomal RNA", at positions 28 to 523 of the family's 1533-position model. The record is from RNAcentral.
GAUGAACGCUAGCUACAGGCUUAACACAUGCAAGUCGAACGAAGGCUUCGGCCUUAGUGGCAGACGGGUGAGUAACACGUGGGAACGUACCUUUUGGUUCGGAACAACUGAGGGAAACUUCAGCUAAUACCGGAUAAGCCCUUACGGGGAAAGAUUUAUCGCCGAAAGAUCGGCCCGCGUCUGAUUAGCUAGUUGGUGAGGUAAUGGCUCACCAAGGCGACGAUCAGUAGCUGGUCUGAGAGGAUGAUCAGCCACAUUGGGACUGAGACACGGCCCAAACUCCUACGGGAGGCAGCAGUGGGGAAUAUUGGACAAUGGGGGCAACCCUGAUCCAGCCAUGCCGCGUGAGUGAUGAAGGCCCUAGGGUUGUAAAGCUCUUUUGUGCGGGAAGAUAAUGACGGUACCGCAAGAAUAAGCCCCGGCUAACUUCGUGCCAGCCGCCGCAGUAA